CCUACGGGAGGCAGCAGUGAGGAAUAUUGGUCAAUGGACGCAAGUCUGAACCAGCCAUGCCGCGUGCAGGAUGACGGCGCUAUGAGUUGUAGACUGCUUUUGUACGAGGGUAAACCCCGGUACGUGUAUCGGGUUGAAAGUAUCGUACGAAUAAGGAUCGGCUAACUCCGUGCCAGCAGCCGCGGUAAUACGGAGGAUCCGAGCGUUAUCCGGAUUUAUUGGGUUUAAAGGGUGCGUAGGCGGUUCGAUAAGUUAGGGGUGAAAUGUCGGGGCUCAACCCCGACACGGCCUUUAAUACUGGUGGACUAGAGAGUGGUGGCGGUAGGCGGAAUGUAUGGUGUAGCGGUGAAAUGCAUAGAUAUCGCACAGAACCCCGAUUGCGAAGGCAGCUGACGGUUCCGCGACUGACGCUGAGGCACGAAAGCGUGGGGAUCAAACAGGAUUAGAUACCCGAGUAGUC
RNAcentral lists this ribosomal RNA (460 nucleotides) under uncultured bacterium. RNAcentral describes it as "partial 16S ribosomal RNA". It matches the Rfam family "Bacterial small subunit ribosomal RNA", at positions 338 to 795 of the family's 1533-position model. The record is from RNAcentral.